Molecule: ribosomal RNA, 446 nt
Filed under: uncultured bacterium
Lineage: Bacteria
Description: partial 16S ribosomal RNA
Rfam family: Bacterial small subunit ribosomal RNA
Source: RNAcentral
CCUACGGGUGGCAGCAGUCGAGAAUCAUUCACAAUGGGGGGAACCCUGAUGGUGCGACGCCGCGUGGGGGAAUGAAGGUCUUCGGAUUGUAAACCCCUGUCAUGUGGGAGAAAAUUAAAAAGAUAGGACCACAAGAGGAAGAGACGGCUAACUCUGUGCCAGCAGCCGCGGCAAUACGGAGGUCGCAAGCGUUGUUCGGAAUCACGUGUGGUAAAGCGUGCGGAGACGGUUUCGUAGGUGGUGUGUGAAAGGCCCGGGCUCAACCCGCGGCCGGCUCAUGAAACUGCGAGACUAGAGUAGAGGAGGGGGAACCGGAAUUCCCGGUGUAGCAGUGAAAUGCGUAGAUAUCAGGAGGAACACUCGUGGCGAAGGCGGGUUCCUGGACAUUAACUGACGCUGAGGCACGAAGGCCAGGGGAGCAAAAGGGAUUAGAUACCCGAGUAGUC